RNAcentral lists this ribosomal RNA (874 nucleotides) under uncultured Peptococcaceae bacterium. Its description in RNAcentral is "bacterial SSU rRNA". It matches the Rfam family "Bacterial small subunit ribosomal RNA", at positions 108 to 992 of the family's 1533-position model. Lineage: Bacteria; Bacillati; Bacillota; Clostridia; Eubacteriales; Peptococcaceae. The record is from RNAcentral.
GAUUGUAACGCGUGGAUAACCUGCCCAUUAGCCUGGGACAACGCCGGGAAACCGGUGCUAAUACCGGAUACGUUCAUCAGAUCGCAUGAUUUGAUGAAGAAAGGAGCAAUCCGCUAAUGGAUGGGUCCGCGUCCCAUUAGCUAAGUUGGUAGGGUAACGGCCUACCAAGGCGACGAUGGGUAGCCGGCCUGAGAGGGCGACCGGCCACACUGGAACUGAGACACGGCCCAGACUCCUACGGGAGGCAGCAGUGGGGAAUCUUCCGCAAUGGGCGCAAGCCUGACGGAGCAACGCCGCGUGAGCGAAGAAGGCCUUCGGGUUGUAAAGCUCUGUCCCGGGGGAAGAACAAAUGACGGUACCCCGGGAGGAAGCCCCGGCUAACUACGUGCCAGCAGCCGCGGUAAAACGUAGGGGGCGAGCGUUGUCCGGAAUUACUGGGCGUAAAGGGCGUGUAGGCGGUUGCGCAAGUCAGUAGUGAAACCCGCCGGCUUAACCGGCGGCUGGCUACUGAAACUGCGCGACUUGAGUGCAGUAGAGGGGAGUGGAAUUCCCAGUGUAGCGGUGAAAUGCGUAGAUAUUGGGAGGAACACCAGUGGCGAAAGCGGCUCCCUGGCCUGUAACUGACGCUGAGGCGCGAAAGCGUGGGUAGCAAACAGGAUUAGAUACCCUGGUAGUCCACGCCGUAAACGAUGGGUGCUAGGUGUUGCGGGUAUCGACCCCCGCAGUGCCGCAGUUAACGCAAUGAGCACCCCGCCUGGGGAGUACGGCCGCAAGGCUGAAACUCAAAGGAAUUGACGGGGGCCCGCACAAGCGGUGGAGCAUGUGGUUUAAUUCGACGCAACGCGAAGAACCUUACCAGGUCUUGACAUCUCCU